Acromyrmex echinatior (Panamanian leafcutter ant) is the source of this 1339-nucleotide long non-coding RNA. Lineage: Eukaryota; Metazoa; Arthropoda; Insecta; Hymenoptera; Formicidae. The record is from RefSeq and is a predicted model, not a curated record.
AACAAAGUACGUCUUGUUAAGAGAAUAAUCGAGUAAUUAUUUCACGGUUAUCGUGCCGCGCAAUGAAACAAGAUAGACUCCAAAUUAAUCAUUCCGGAUACGAGAAGUUCGACGGGGUGAAAAAGCAACGAGAAAUUAAUUGCACGGGGCACUCUCUAUAUCUAUGAAUGGUAAUCACGUCGCGUGGAAAAGUGAAUGCUCAAGGAUGACCUUUGGCGUUCCGCCAGUGUUGCACAUAUCUAUACUAUAUGUCGUAUAUCGGAUCUGAUAUGCGCAGUAUAUCGCAAGUUAUGCGCAUAAACGCUGGCUGUAAACAAUACUCGGACGAGACGAUCGCUCAGGAAGGAAAAAACGCUAAUGGGAAUCGAAUACCGAAGCACGAUGAUUGAAUGACGAUGUUCUCGAAUUAAAUCGGCAUUUGGCGCUCAACAAAGUUGAGCUUUGUAUUAUUAUCUUCUUGCUUCUUCUACUGGGACUAAUGACGGGCGAAUUCAGAAACAGAUCAUUACGUAUGUAUAUACAAGACAAUGUCCAGUUAUAAGACUCAAUAGAUAAGCCCAAUCUUCUUAAUGACGCGACGGUAACCGCGUGGCUGUUUACGUUUAGUUAGACAAUAGCAAUUUGCAUUUCGCUUGAUUUGUCGAAUUAUGAUUUAUGCAAAAGAAAUAUUCCGUAAUCAAUAAAAAUCAACUUAUAUCAAUGAAAUAUUGAUAGAUAUUAACUUGUGCACAGUCGAAAAUCGAAGUUCAUUUUCUCUCUCUCUCUCUCUCUCUCUCUCUCUCUCUCUCUCUCUCUCUCUCUCUCGUAGAAAUUUAUUUUAUUUCUUUUUGUAUCUUGAUUACGUUUUACAUUUCAAGCGAAUACUUCGUGUAUUCUGUCACACGCGUUUCAGAAAUGUUUCCAAAAUGAUAUUUCUCGAUUUAUUUCAAGUAAACUUGCUUCCAUAUGCCAUUGUUCUUUGUGCCAAUAUCAGAACGGUAGUAUUUACGAUCACAGAAAGUAUUUUAUCAUUGCUAAGAUAAAAGUCUAAUUCCUCAAUGAUUCGUGCUGUCAAUCAACGAACGCAAAGAUUGCGCGUUGCAACGCACGACACGACUCGUAACUUCAUCAGAAUCAUUACUUUUCCGAUUAUUACUAUUGAACGAUGAUCAGCUAACAGAACAGCAACGAUCGGAGAGCAGAUUGUUCUCGGAUUGCUGUGGAUUAUCUUGACGCUCGCUAUAUCGUUUUCGCAUUCCGAUCAGGAGCAUGUGAAGCACGGGUACAUUGAGGAAACAUUGUCACAUAUAAAUUCAUCGAGAAAGAGAGAGAGAGAUAGAUAGAUAGAUAGAUAGAUAGA